Molecule: long non-coding RNA, 377 nt
Organism: Neocloeon triangulifer
Lineage: Eukaryota; Metazoa; Arthropoda; Insecta; Ephemeroptera; Baetidae
Exons: 3
Source: RefSeq, a predicted model, not a curated record
AAGGCAAGGAAAAGCGAAUUCGCCAGCCGAACAAGAUGGAAAUUGUUGGCGAAAAUAACGCGCGAGCAAGUUUUUACCUCGGCAGCUGCGUCGCUGUAAAGAGUGUCUCUCUUCAAAAGAGUGGCCUGCUCUUCUCGACGCUAGGCUCGGAUUUUUCGCCACGCGUGGAAAAGCAGAAGAGACGCUCUGAAGCAAAAGUUCCCGGGUGAAAUUUCUCGUGCUCGGAAAAAGGGGGCAAAUCUUUCUUCUUUCUUUCUCUUUAGAAGCCUCCCGGAGGAACGCGCCGAGCUACUUUCGAGUUUCACGCAGCGUUGGGAAAAAACUUCGCGCAAGAAAAUUUACAUCCGAAAUUUAAUCCUGACCAAUAAAAACUUUUC